Molecule: ribosomal RNA, 253 nt
Filed under: uncultured bacterium
Lineage: Bacteria
Description: partial 16S ribosomal RNA
Rfam family: Bacterial small subunit ribosomal RNA
Source: RNAcentral
UACGUAGGUGGCAAGCGUUGUCCGGAUUUAUUGGGUUUAAAGGGUGCGUAGGCGGCCUUUUAAGUCAGUGCUGAAAUACUCUAGCUUAACUAGAGGGGUGGCAUUGAUACUGAAAGGCUUGAGUUAAGUCGAAGUAGGCGGAAUUGACGGUGUAGCGGUGAAAUGCUUAGAUAUCGUCAAGAACACCGAUAGUGAAGACAGCUUACUAGACUUCAACUGACGCUGAGGCACGAAAGUGUGGGGAUCAAACAGG